AAUAUCCAUCCUUACUGAGCUGAUUUAUAUUUGUUUUAAAUUCUUUUUAGAUUCAACUUUUAACAGAUACAUUAGGCCAGGCGUGGUAGCUCACGCCUGUAAUCUCAGCCGUUUGGGAGGCCGAGGCGGAUGGAUUGCUUGAGCUCAGGAGUUCAAGACUAGCCUAGGCAACAUAGUAAAACCCCAUCUCUACAAAAAAUACAAAAAUUAGCAGGGCAUGGAGGCAUGCACCUGUAGUCCUAGCUAUUUGGGAAGCUGAGAUGGGAUGAUUGCUUGAGCCUAGGAGAUUGAGGCUGCAGUGAACUGAUUCUACAACUGUACUCCAGCCUGGGCAACAGAGCAAGAUCUUGUCUCCAAAAAUAAAAAUAAAAAACCUUAGAUCAAAACAAAUUUAGAGCUAAAUCAUCAGAAUUAAGUAGUGACUAAUAAGAUGCUAAAAGAAAAUCUGAAAUUGGAGAGUCUUUCAUCUAACAAAGUUACUAAAUGCCCAUUAUAUAUUAGGCACUGUUCUUUGUUCACACUAGUAACAAAAGACAAAAAAUAACUAUCCUAUUUCACUUUUAACAGUCCUUAGAAUGUUGACUGAUUAGAUAUUUUCCUAAGUAUCUUCUAGGUUUGUUCUGUUCUUGGUGUUUAUCUAAACAAAAAAUAUUCUGACAACAUUUAGUAAAUUCAUUUGUUUCCUUCUUGAAUACAUACACUUCAGAAAAUUCCAACUUCUUUUGUAGUCACUAAGCAUGCUGAGAUUGAGACACUACUAGUUAUCAGGUACUGACCCUGGUCACCUCCCAGAAUUGUCCAUAUGCCUGGGAAGCAGUGCCUGCCAUUGUGCUGGAGUAGCCUCCUUGUAGCACACUUUGCUGUAAUACUCUCCAAACCAAUUUUCUCUAACUCUAUGUGACCUAUAUUAAGGUAGGGCAUUCCAAUAUAUCCUCCAAUUUUGGUGAAUACAAUUGAAUGGUUCUCAACAAUGAAUAGUUUGGCAUACUUUUAUUUGGGGGAGGUGGUGGUCACAAUGACUAGCAUCAGUGGGUAAGGGCGAGAAAGGCUAAAUGAAUCCUGCAAUGGGAUGACAGUUUUUUAUCCUAAAGAACCGUCUCACUCAAAAGGCCAAUAGUGACUGUCCAUGGAGGGACACUGAGCUGUUGUCACCUGGUACGGUAACAAAGACAGAAGCUUCACUUUACUCAUGUAAUUUUUUCUACUAGACAGUAAGUCAGAUAAUUUUAGUAUUGUAUUUUAUUAAAUAUAUUUAUAUGCCACAAAAAUUAUUUUAGUGACAACUACUAGGAAAGUACAAAAUCACUUAAUAACUGGUUUUCUACACCUUGAUUUGUCAAGAAACUCAUAAGCAAAUGGAAAGUAAUAAGUACUGAUUGCAGUUACUUACUACAGUGAACAGUUUUGAGAACAAGAAGAAAACCUGUAACACUGAAAAUGGCUUUAUAUCCCAUUCAUAGAUCUCUUCAAAAGGUCUACUUUAAAAAUAAAUCACAUAAAGAAUUGUUCAGACUUGUUUGGUGAUGCCUCAACUUGAGAACAUUUGCAAGGAAAUCACAUGUAAAACCAAUCAUCUCAAUACAAUUAAAUGCUAUUAAAGAAAAAAAAAGUUUCCUUUAAAACAGUGGUUCCCAAAAUUUAGCAGGCAUCAGAAUCUCCUGAGGGAAGCUUGUUAAAAUACGGAAUGCUGGCCUCCUCCCCAGAGUUUGCUACAAGUUUGCAGGCCAUUCUGAUGUUGCUGCCGGCACAACACUUUGAGAACCACUACUUUAAGAUCUAGUCUCUAGAAUUCAAACUAAUAAGCAAUGCCCAUAUGCCUUUGCUUUUUCUAAUAGUAAAUAAAUAAAAGAAUAUUUCAGGUAGCUGCAUCAAACUUUAAGCCUUUAGACUCUUUUUUUUUUUGAGGCAGAGUUUUGCUCUUGCUGCCCAGGCUGGAGUGCAAUGGCAUCCUCUCAGCUUACCACAACCUCUGCCUCCCAAGUUCAAGCAAUUCUCCU
Molecule: long non-coding RNA, 1997 nt
Organism: Pongo abelii (Sumatran orangutan)
Lineage: Eukaryota; Metazoa; Chordata; Mammalia; Primates; Hominidae
Source: Ensembl